GCCAGUGAUGAAUCGCCCAAUGUUAGGAGGCUGCAACCGGCUCCAGGUUCCUGUUAAUCAGGAAGAACCUACUUGGAGCUGCUGCACUCACAUGACGUCACCGGGCAAUCCUGAGGU
This is a small nucleolar RNA of Phragmites australis (common reed), 117 nucleotides long. RefSeq annotates it as small nucleolar RNA Z278. The transcript has a single exon. NCBI's taxonomy places the organism in Eukaryota, Viridiplantae, Streptophyta, Magnoliopsida, Poales, Poaceae. The record is from RefSeq and is a predicted model, not a curated record.